GGGCCUGGAAGCUGUGGCCUCGGCCCCUCCGGCUCCAACUGUGGGUGACGCAACAGGCAACGGCCGAGGGCUGGGCCGGGUGGCCGGUGGGGGCCGGCGGGACCCGAGCGAACUCCCCGGCGUCCAGGGAAAGCGCGGGAGGCUCAGCCUGUAGCGUCUCUGUGUCCCUCUGUCUUCCCUCCCGAGUGUGUCCGUGUGGGGCCCCCACCCCCUCAGCCUCAGUUCCCCUUCUGGACAAUGAGCGGGCAGCGAAUGACCUCUUUUGGGUCCAGGCGGGGCCCCUGAACCAAGCUAGGUUCAUGCACCCUGACGUUCCUCUCUGGGCCUCAGCCUCUCCAUCUGCCAAGUGGGUUAAUGGCAACUCGACUAACCUUGGUGGCCAGUCUGGGUUCAACGGUCUAAAAAAUGUGUAAACAGUCCCUGCUGGAAAGAUGGGGGUCACUGUGCAAUCCGCGCCCCUCUGCCCACCUCACCCCGCAUGUUCGCGGGCUUCCUGGUUGGUGCUUCGAGCAGCCGGCGACAGGUGUCCCCCCGCCACACACACUGCUCUCCGCUGUCCCAUGAAGACCCCUCAGGGCAGUGACCCGAGGACUCUGUACCUUCCACACGGCUGUGACUCCCCUGGUGGCCUCCUGCUGGGAACACGGAUUGUUUGCAGCGGGAAGAUGCCUCGUCGCCCGCCCGCCGAGGGGGACGCCCGCACUGUUCUCAGCAGCUUUGUGUCUGUGUCCUCGUCAAAAGACAGGGUCUCCGGGGAGGUUGCUCAGUCUCUCGUGCAAACCAGUGAGGGUGAGGCUGUCCCCACCUCGUCAAGAGGCUUUUGUCUUUCUCUGCUCUGAACGGUCUGCUUACAGCCUCUACCUGUACGAUCGGGCUGUUGUUAUUGGCUUUAGGCACUCUUUAUAUAUGAGCUUCACUGUCAUAUUUUAUUAUAUGUUAUGAAGUAUACAUGUUGUAGACAUAUAGUGAUUUACAAUAAAUAUGUAUGAUCUA
This is a long non-coding RNA of Felis catus (domestic cat), 993 nucleotides long. RefSeq lists it as uncharacterized. The transcript is spliced from 2 exons. The record is from RefSeq and is a predicted model, not a curated record. Lineage: Eukaryota; Metazoa; Chordata; Mammalia; Carnivora; Felidae.